Eupeodes corollae is the source of this 2131-nucleotide RNA transcript. It is a transcript of the gene named cysteinyl leukotriene receptor 1, with no coding region annotated. The record is from RefSeq and is a predicted model, not a curated record. NCBI's taxonomy places the organism in Eukaryota, Metazoa, Arthropoda, Insecta, Diptera, Syrphidae. The transcript is spliced from 8 exons.
UCUGUCCUCGGUCAUGUUCUAUUCGAAAGAUUAUGAAUUCCUAUCGCCGUCGUCGUCUGUUUCGAAAGUGAUUGUUUUAUUUCGAACAGCGAGCCAAUACUAUGCGAAUGCGGUCCGGGUCAAUGGCAGUUCUUAAGUGAAUCUAAAGCGUUUUGUGUCCUACAUUUCUAUGUGAAUGAGAAUUUUACUCAACAAAAGUUAAAUAAAUAAUUUGUGAUAUUUUAUUGGAAAAUAAAAUUCGUUAUGAUUCAAAAAAGUGCAAGUGUGUCCUUAGCCAUUUCUUGAAAAAUUCCAACUGAAAAAUUAAAAAUACAGAAUUGAAGAAAAAAAAACAACGACAUUCCAAGCCAAAAUGAUGGAUUACAACAGUUUACUUGCUUACAACCAAACCGAUCUCAUCGGCUCUACCCCAACGAUCCCCAAUCGGACCCUGACGACCAACGACACAUCCCAGCAACAUCAGCAACAAUACCCCAAGAUAAUAGACGCGGUAGCCCAUUACCUUACAUUUUACUAUACGCCGAUAAUCGUUUUCGGAGGCAGCAUCGGAAAUAUCCUUUCGGUUUUUGUGUUUUUCAAAACUAAUCUGCGGAAGUUGUCAUCGAGUUUCUAUUUGGCAGCACUGGCUGUCAGUGAUACGUUAUAUUUGUUGGCGACAUUUGCAUCGUGGUUGGGUUAUGUGGAAGUGAAUGUUUAUAAUCGGGAUGUUCUGUGUCAGUUUUUUGUUUUUACCAGCAGCUUGUGUAGCUUUUGUUCGGUUUGGUAUGUUGUGGCCUUCACUGUUGAACGGUUUAUAGCUGUGAUGUAUCCGCUGAAGCGGCAAACUAUGUGCACCGUGAAACGGGCAAAGAUCGUACUGGCUGGGAUUACGUUGCUCGGAUGUUUGCAUUGUACGCCGUACCUCUUGAUUUCAGCACCGAAAUACAAUCCGGAGAGUCAUUCUAUGCAUUGCAGUAUUCGGGAUGAGUACAUGGACUUUGGAACAACUGUAAACUACGUAGAUACAGUUGUGGUAUUUGCUGUUCCCUUAUCAACCAUUGCGAUACUCAAUACGUUUACUGGAUGUACUGUCUGGAAAUUUGCUACAGUAAGACGAACAAUGACAUUACAAAAACGGAAAACUCAAAUAACACGAAGUCCUUUUUCAUCAACCUACCGGACAAGUACUGUGAAAAGGCAAAACUCAGUUAUGUCAAACUUUUCACAUCCCAAUGGUCACAAUAAUUGUGGUGGUUCACAUCGAGAAUCCAAAUCUAAACCAGGAAGACGACCGUUGACAAACUCAUCACAGCUAAAAGUCACAAAGAUGUUAUUAAUAGUUUCGACGGUUUUUGUAUUCUUGAAUCUGCCCAGCUACUUUUUUAGAGUGAAAAUGUUCCUAGAGAAAGAAGAAUCAGAGAUGUUAACCAAACAGCAAUAUAUUGCAAAUUCACUGUUUGUAACGAAUUUCGGAAUUAAUUUUGUUCUGUAUUGCGUCAGUGGGCAAAAUUUUAGAAAGGCGUUAAUAAGUCUAUUCCGCAGUGUAUCAUCAUCAAACAGAGAUGGAACUACUCAAGUAACGGCAUAAUUACUACAUCGUAUCUUCAUGAAGCAGCUACUAAAAUAAAUAUCAAGCUAUGUUGCAUAUUAUGUACCUUUGCAUAACAUAUACAUUAUGUAAUAUUUACCGACUGCUGAUUGAUAUUGGGGUUUCCAUUUAGUCAUACAUGAUAUAGAUAUCUAUAUUAAAUAACUUUCAGAAUAUUUUCGAAACAGUGGCAAUGGCAUGAUCUCAAGGAGACGACCUACUUCACAAAACGGCUGGGGUGAAAUGCAUGAAAUGGAAAAUAUUAUCCAUUAUAAAUAAAGAGGGGUGAAUAGUUAAUAAAAUAAAACAAAACCAAAAAAAAUAUGAUAAAGUUUUAUAAAUACUCGGAGAAGACAAAAAGUUGUUAUUAUGUAUUAUAGGUACCUCUGUACUAUAAUGUACUUAAAAUAUAAGUUAAAAGUUAUUCAAAAUAAUAAAAACUCAAUUUUAUUUAUGAUUUCCUUUUAUUUAUUAAGUUUUAUCGUUAUUAUAAAUUGAAUAUAAAGUAUGACACUUGAUGUAUAGCUAAGCUAUUGUUAUAUGAUUUAAAUAAAUGUAUUUACG